RNAcentral lists this ribosomal RNA (497 nucleotides) under uncultured bacterium. RNAcentral describes it as "partial 16S ribosomal RNA". It matches the Rfam family "Bacterial small subunit ribosomal RNA", at positions 28 to 507 of the family's 1533-position model. The record is from RNAcentral.
GAUGAACGCUGGCGGCGUGCCUAAUACAUGCAAGUCGAGCGAACAGAUAAGGAGCUUGCUCCUUUGACGUUAGCGGCGGACGGGUGAGUAACACGUGGGUAACCUACCUAUAAGACUGGAGUAACUCCGGGAAACCGGGGCUAAUGCCGGAUAACAUUUAGAACCGCAUGGUUCUAAAUUGAAAGAUGGUUUUGCUAUCACUUAUAGAUGGACCCGCGCCGUAUUAGCUAGUUGGUAAGGUAACGGCUUACCAAGGCAACGAUACGUAGCCGACCUGAGAGGGGGAUCGGCCACACUGGAACUGAGACACGGUCCAGACUCCGACGGGAGGAAGAAGUAGGGAAUCUUCCGCAAUGGGCGAAAGCCUGACGGAGCAACGCCGCGUGAGUGAUGAAGGUCUUCGGAUCGUAAAACUCUGUUAUUAGGGAAGAACAAAUGUGUAAGUAACUGUGCACGUCUUGACGGUACCUAAUCAGAAAGCCACGGCUAACUACGUG